AUGCUUCUCACCCUGCUGUGCUGUGCAGUCCUGUUGGGCUCUGUUCCUGCUCCCCAUGGUAAUAGGUCAUUGUGUCACACCUGGGUAGCUGUGACAUCAUUCCUGCUGUGGUUCCAUCAUGAAGGGCAGUUGCUAUUAAGACAGCUCUCCUCCAUCCCUACUGUGAUGAUGCAGGCAGGGCAGCCUCUUUGCUGUCUUUAUUGCCAGCACUGUUUAGGGUGUGAUGACAGACAGGCAGGCAGCUCCCAAGGAAAAAGAAGAUAUUUUUGGAGGGAGAUGUUGCAGGUGGCCUUCUCAAAUAUGCUGAGUGACUGGAAGGGACUGACAAGGCAGGGAGAUGGAGGAAAAGGCAUUGUUGGAUUUUCAAUAAGGAAUCAAUAUUCCUCUGGAGGGCUGGUAUACCUCAGCUGUAAACAUUUCAUCCCUCUGAUCAAGAUGGGAAUAGCAACCUGUGACUCAGACCACCAUCCUGAGCAAUAAAGGAGCUUUAUGACUUAGUGUGGCUAACUUGUUCCUCCUGAGGAAUGAGUAGCGUGCCAGCAGAAUGCUCACAAACAGCAUGCAAAGGAGCAAAGAAGAACACAAUCACAUCUGUAGCCUAUCUUAAGCCUCAGACCCUGCACUGUUAUCUGCCUCCUGCUAUGUAUGGUGGCAAUGCACCUGAUGCUACCAAAAGGAUGUUCUGGCCUAUGGUCCCACUGACUGGCUCUCUGCAGCACAGUGCACGUGCUGUAGGCAUGUAACACACAGCAGAGCUG
Molecule: long non-coding RNA, 758 nt
Filed under: Coturnix japonica (Japanese quail)
Lineage: Eukaryota; Metazoa; Chordata; Aves; Galliformes; Phasianidae
Description: lncRNA (ENSCJPG00005018896.1)
Source: RNAcentral